GGCGAGGGGCUGAGGCUCGACCGUGGCUGUCGCCCGAGGGCGACCGAGAGUCAAGCUCGCUGGUGGGGGCGUGUGAGGGCGGCUUUGCCUCCGCCUCUGCUCACUUCCUUUCUCAGGAAUGGUGGGCGCCGUCCCCACCCCUCACUGGCAGUGACGGUGGACAACAAAGGGGCUCGGGAUGGCGGCCAGACAAAGAGUUGCAGCGCCGGGGGAAGUUGGGAACAAAGGUAGGGGGCUGGGAGCUUCAGGGAGACGCGCUACGAGAACCCCAAAGCAGAAAGUGCCUUUGUCUCCUGGGCUGCCCAAACUUGCGGAAACCCGGGUGGUCCUACCUCACCCGCCGCCCACCUGGGCCUGAUCGGCCGCGCUGGGACCAUGCCCUCACCGCGCAUCCAGCUGAGAGGGAAACAGGUCGGACCUGGGCAGCGCCCGAGGGAAAGCCUGGGUAGCCAGCGGCCGGCAUGUAAAGGCCCCGCCUCCUCAAAGGAAAGGCUGCUGGACCCAUGGAACAUGCCAGAAGAGAGGAGCAGAAAGAUCUCAACAGAUGGAGACCACUAAAGAAAACCAAAACCGAGCCGGG
Molecule: non-coding RNA, 580 nt
Organism: Mus caroli (Ryukyu mouse)
Lineage: Eukaryota; Metazoa; Chordata; Mammalia; Rodentia; Muridae
Source: RefSeq, a predicted model, not a curated record